Molecule: ribosomal RNA, 253 nt
Filed under: uncultured bacterium
Lineage: Bacteria
Description: partial 16S ribosomal RNA
Rfam family: Bacterial small subunit ribosomal RNA
Source: RNAcentral
UACGUAGGUGACCAGCGUUGUCCGGAUUUACUGGGCGUAAAGAGCGCGCAGGCGGUCGUUCAAGUCGAGUGUGAAAGCCCCCGGCUCAACUGGGGAGGGUCACUCGAUACUGAUCGACUUGAAGGCAGGAGAGGGAAGCGGAAUUCCCGGUGUAGUGGUGAAAUGCGUAGAUAUCGGGAGGAACACCAGUGGCGAAGGCGGCUCGCUGGGCCGGCCCUGACGCUGAGACGCGAAGGCGUGGGGAGCGAACGGG